This 123-nucleotide ribosomal RNA is filed under the name Gardnerella vaginalis. RNAcentral describes it as "partial 16S ribosomal RNA". It matches the Rfam family "Bacterial small subunit ribosomal RNA", at positions 1 to 119 of the family's 1533-position model. The record is from RNAcentral. Lineage: Bacteria; Bacillati; Actinomycetota; Actinomycetes; Bifidobacteriales; Bifidobacteriaceae.
UUUCGUGGAGGGUUCGAUUCUGGCUCAGGAUGAACGCUGGCGGCGUGCUUAACACAUGCAAGUCGAACGGGAUCUAGUCAGCUUGCUGACUGGUGAGAGUGGCGAACGGGUGAGUAAUGCGUG